AGCAGUCGCCGCGGUAAUACGAAGGGUGCAAGCGUUAAUCGGAAUUACUGGGCGUAAAGCGUGCGUAGGCGGUUUGUUAAGUCUGCUGUGAAAUCCCCGGGCUCAACCUGGGAAUGGCAGUGGAUACUGGCAAGCUAGAGUGUGUCAGAGGAUGGUGGAAUUCCCGGUGUAGCGGUGAAAUGCGUAGAGAUCGGGAGGAACAUCAGUGGCGAAGGCGGCCAUCUGGGACAACACUGACGCUGAGGCACGAAAGCGUGGGGAGCAGACAGGAUUAGAUACCCCCGUAGUCCCUGUCUCUUAUGC
This 303-nucleotide ribosomal RNA is filed under the name uncultured bacterium. Its description in RNAcentral is "partial 16S ribosomal RNA". It matches the Rfam family "Bacterial small subunit ribosomal RNA", at positions 507 to 809 of the family's 1533-position model. The record is from RNAcentral.